RNAcentral lists this ribosomal RNA (253 nucleotides) under uncultured bacterium. Its description in RNAcentral is "partial 16S ribosomal RNA". It matches the Rfam family "Bacterial small subunit ribosomal RNA", at positions 524 to 776 of the family's 1533-position model. The record is from RNAcentral.
UACGAAGGGGGCUAGCGUUGUUCGGAAUUACUGGGCGUAAAGCGCACGUAGGCGGACUAUUAAGUCGGGGGUGAAAGCCCGAGGCUCAACCUCGGAACUGCCUUCGAUACUGCGGGUCUCGAGUCCGGGAGAGGUGAGUGGAAUUCCUAGUGUAGAGGUGAAAUUCGUAGAUAUUAGGAAGAACACCAGUGGCGAAGGCGGCUCACUGGCCCGGUACUGACGCUGAGGCGCGAAAGCGUGGGGAGCAAACAGG